Molecule: ribosomal RNA, 488 nt
Filed under: uncultured Lachnospiraceae bacterium
Lineage: Bacteria; Bacillati; Bacillota; Clostridia; Lachnospirales; Lachnospiraceae
Description: partial 16S ribosomal RNA
Source: RNAcentral
CACGUAGUUAGCCGGGGCUUCUUAGUCAGGUACCGUCAUUAUCUUUCCUGCUGGUAGAGCUUUACAUACCGAGAUACUUCUUCACUCACGCGGCGUCGCUGCAUCAGGGUUUCCCCCAUUGUGCAAUAUUCCCCACUGCUGCCUCCCGUAGGAGUCUGGGCCGUGUCUCAGUCCCAAUGUGGCCGUUCACCCUCUCAGGCCGGCUACUGAUCGUCGCUUUGGUGGGCCGUUACCCCGCCAACUGGCUAAUCAGACGCGGAUCCAUCGUAUACCACCGGAGUUUUUCACACCGCUCCAUGCGGAGCUGUGCGCUCAUGCGGUAUUAGCACCUAUUUCUAAGUGUUAUCCCCCGGUAUACGGCAGGUUAUCCACGCGUUACUCACCCGUCCGCCACUAACCUGUAUAUCACUAGGUUUCAAUACAGAUCCGUUCGACUUGCAUGUGUUAGGCACGCCGCCAGCGUUCAUCCUGAGCCGGGAUCAAACUCU